RNAcentral lists this ribosomal RNA (292 nucleotides) under uncultured bacterium. RNAcentral's name for it is "partial 16S ribosomal RNA". It matches the Rfam family "Bacterial small subunit ribosomal RNA", at positions 505 to 796 of the family's 1533-position model. The record is from RNAcentral.
GUGUCAGCAGCCGCGGUAAUACGUAGGUGGCAAGCGUUACUCGGAAUCACUAGGCGUAAAGCGCAGGUAGGAGGUUUAGUAAGUCUGUUGUGAAAGCUCCCGGCUUAACUGGGAGAGGUCAACGGAAACUGCUAGGCUGGAGUGCGGUAGAGGUAGCUGGAAUUCCCGGUGUAGCGGUGAAAUGCGUAGAUAUCGGGAGGAAUACCUAUGGCGAAAGCAGGCUACUGGACCGUCACUGACUCUGAUCUGCGAAAGCUAGGGGAGCAAACAGGAUUAGAUACCCUGGUAGUCC